GUGUUUGACUGGGGUCCCUACCGAAGUCGUCCCCCCAGUCGCUUUCGAACGAGUCGUCGGAAGGGUCGGUGUUCGAAUUCGGCUGUUCCUCUUCCGUCGUGCUGUUGUUCUCCGUGGAAUUCUGGGUGAUUGAUGACAUACCGUAUCGGCUGUGUGGGAGUCCCGGAUGACAGGUUUGGCGUCUCCGACAGCAGAGCCUGUUUCUCCCCCUGCGCCACGGACAGCCGGUUCGGGUUCUUCCACACCUUUACAUUAAUGAUGGGAUCCGCUAGGGGCGUCAGGAACACGCACGGCGUAUAGCCCUCCUUUCCGUUGUACCUACCGCGGGAGGGACGUACAAUGAAUGAAGGAAGGAAGGAAGGAAGGAAUGAUAUGUAAAUGAGAUGGAAGCAUACCUGACAAGCCACCACCCAUCCUGAUACUCCGUGAGCAGCUCCACCACCGUGCCUUUCUCCAGAUCUAGUUCAUCCUCCUCUUGUGCACGAUACUCAUGGGUCGC
Long non-coding RNA from Branchiostoma floridae (Florida lancelet), 499 nucleotides. RefSeq lists it as uncharacterized. NCBI's taxonomy places the organism in Eukaryota, Metazoa, Chordata, Leptocardii, Amphioxiformes, Branchiostomatidae. The record is from RefSeq and is a predicted model, not a curated record. The transcript is spliced from 3 exons.